GUUGAGCAAAUCUUUGCAGAUUCGUGCUGGGUUAUCGCGUGUGCCAAGAGGAUUCUUGAUGCUGUGCAGUAAAUUGCUAAGGGUGAAAGGAAGAACAGAAAAGUUGACAGUAAUUUGAAGAUUUAAAGAAAGACAUCUGCAUUGAUAUUCAUGCCAGGGAAGGUUUUAUUAAUCAAAUGGACAGAAAGGGGGAGUAAUUUUUAAAAAUCAUAGAGAAAUGAACCUCCUGUUUCCAAGGAGACAGUCUUCCUUAUGGCACUUUGCUUGAAAGUUAUUCCCUACCCCGAUGAAAAGCUGAGAGGAAUGAAGAGUUCCUGACCUCCUACCUCUCAGCUGCUGACUGGACACCUAAAGGACCUGGCAGUGCUCCGGCAGCACCUGUGAGGAAGGCUAUACUCC
Molecule: long non-coding RNA, 399 nt
Organism: Eptesicus fuscus (big brown bat)
Lineage: Eukaryota; Metazoa; Chordata; Mammalia; Chiroptera; Vespertilionidae
Exons: 3
Source: RefSeq, a predicted model, not a curated record